AUUGAACGCUGGCGGUAGGCCUAACACAUGCAAGUCGAACGCGAAAGUCCUUCGGGAGUGAGUAGAGUGGCGGACGGGUGAGUAACGCGUAGGAAUCUAUCCUGUAGUGGGGGAGUAACGUUUCGAAAGGAACGCUAAUACCGCAUACGUUCUGAGGAAGAAAGCAGGGACCGCAAGGCCUUGCGCUAUCAGAUGAGCCUGCGUCCGAUUAGCUAGUUGGUAGGGUAAAGGCCUACCAAGGCGACGAUCGGUAACUGGUCUGAGAGGAUGAUCAGUCACACUGGAACUGAGACACGGUCCAGACUCCUACGGGAGGCAGCAGUGGGGAAUAUUGGACAAUGGGGGCAACCCUGAUCCAGCCAUGCCGCGUGUGUGAAGAA
This 380-nucleotide ribosomal RNA is filed under the name uncultured bacterium. RNAcentral describes it as "bacterial SSU rRNA". It matches the Rfam family "Bacterial small subunit ribosomal RNA", at positions 30 to 412 of the family's 1533-position model. The record is from RNAcentral.